Molecule: small nucleolar RNA, 85 nt
Organism: Zalophus californianus (California sea lion)
Lineage: Eukaryota; Metazoa; Chordata; Mammalia; Carnivora; Otariidae
Source: Ensembl
UCCCAGUGAUAGAGUCCCUGUAGACCAUUCUGAUCCUCUACUGUGGACUCAGUGCAGCGGGAUAGAGAAGCCAGGGGCCGAGAGC